This 761-nucleotide ribosomal RNA is filed under the name Prevotella melaninogenica. RNAcentral describes it as "bacterial SSU rRNA". It matches the Rfam family "Bacterial small subunit ribosomal RNA", at positions 28 to 776 of the family's 1533-position model. The record is from RNAcentral. Lineage: Bacteria; Pseudomonadati; Bacteroidota; Bacteroidia; Bacteroidales; Prevotellaceae.
GAUGAACGCUAGCUACAGGCUUAACACAUGCAAGUCGAGGGGAAACGGCAUUAAGUGCUUGCACUUUUUGGACGUCGACCGGCGCACGGGUGAGUAACGCGUAUCCAACCUUCCUAUGACUAAGGGAUAACCUGCCGAAAGGCAGACUAAUACCUUAUGGUCUUCACUGACGGCAUCAGAUGUGAAGUAAAGAUUUAUCGGUUAUGGAUGGGGAUGCGUCUGAUUAGCUUGUUGGCGGGGUAACGGCCCACCAAGGCAACGAUCAGUAGGGGUUCUGAGAGGAAGGUCCCCCACAUUGGAACUGAGACACGGUCCAAACUCCUACGGGAGGCAGCAGUGAGGAAUAUUGGUCAAUGGGCGAGAGCCUGAACCAGCCAAGUAGCGUGCAGGAUGACGGCCCUAUGGGUUGUAAACUGCUUUUGUAUGGGGAUAAAGUCAAUCACGUGUGAUUGUUUGCAGGUACCAUACGAAUAAGGACCGGCUAAUUCCGUGCCAGCAGCCGCGGUAAUACGGAAGGUCCGGGCGUUAUCCGGAUUUAUUGGGUUUAAAGGGAGCGUAGGCUGGAGAUUAAGUGUGUUGUGAAAUGUAGACGCUCAACGUCUGACUUGCAGCGCAUACUGGUUUCCUUGAGUACGCACAACGUUGGCGGAAUUCGUCGUGUAGCGGUGAAAUGCUUAGAUAUGACGAAGAACUCCGAUUGCGAAGGCAGCUGACGGGAGCGCAACUGACGCUGAAGCUCGAAGGUGCGGGUAUCGAACAGG